Long non-coding RNA from Carlito syrichta (Philippine tarsier), 165 nucleotides. RefSeq lists it as uncharacterized. Lineage: Eukaryota; Metazoa; Chordata; Mammalia; Primates; Tarsiidae. The transcript is spliced from 3 exons. The record is from RefSeq and is a predicted model, not a curated record.
GGAAGACCAGCAGAAUCCUCAAGAGGUCUUUAAGACGCUGGUAGACUUGCUGAAUGACAAAGAAGAAGCUUUGGCUCAUCAAAGAAAGCGCCACAGUUAAGAUUAUCCUUCUAUCUCCUAAUAUAAAGAAGAAAUUCCAGAAUACCUGUGUGGCCGUAAUUCGAG